UACGUAGGGUGCGAGCGUUAAUCGGAAUUACUGGGCGUAAAGCGUGCGCAGGCGGUUUUGUAAGACUGUCGUGAAAUCCCCGGGCUCAACCUGGGAAUGGCGAUGGUGACUGCAAGGCUAGAGUUUGGCAGAGGGGGGUAGAAUUCCACGUGUAGCAGUGAAAUGCGUAGAUAUGUGGAGGAACACCGAUGGCGAAGGCAGCCCCCUGGGUCAAAACUGACGCUCAUGCACGAAAGCGUGGGGAGCAAACAGG
Molecule: ribosomal RNA, 253 nt
Filed under: uncultured bacterium
Lineage: Bacteria
Description: partial 16S ribosomal RNA
Rfam family: Bacterial small subunit ribosomal RNA
Source: RNAcentral